RNAcentral lists this ribosomal RNA (394 nucleotides) under uncultured bacterium. Its description in RNAcentral is "partial 16S ribosomal RNA". It matches the Rfam family "Bacterial small subunit ribosomal RNA", at positions 523 to 918 of the family's 1533-position model. The record is from RNAcentral.
AUACGUAGGGAGCGAGCGUUGUCCGGAAUUACUGGGCGUAAAGGGCGCGUAGGCGGCGCUUCAAGUCGUCUGUCAAAUGGGAGGGCUUAACCCUUUUUCGCAGACGAAACUGGAGAGCUUGAGAAGCAGAGAGGCAAACAGAAUUCCUGGUGUAGCGGUGAAAUGCGUAGAUAUCAGGAAGAAUACCAGUGGCGAAGGCGGUUUGCUGGCUGCAUACUGACGCUGAAGCGCGAAAGCCAGGGGAGCGAACGGGAUUAGAUACCCCGGUAGUCCUGGCAGUAAACGAUGUAUGCUGGGUGUGAGACUAGCGAUAGUUUCGUGCCGAAGUUAACGCGAUAAGCAUACCGCCUGGGGAGUACGGUCGCAAGAUCGAAACUCAAAGGAAUUGACGGGG